CCAAUAAUCGGUACGGGUCAUGAGAGUGAGAACCCGGAGACGGAAUNUGAGACAAGAUUCCGGGCCNUACGGGGCGCAGCAGGCGCGAAACCUUUACACUGCACGCCAGUGCGAUAAGGGGAUCCCAAGUGCGCAGGCAUAGAGCCUGCGCUUUUGUCCACCCUAGGGAGGUGGACGAAUAAGGGCUGGGCAAGACCGGUGCCAGCCGCCGCGGUAAUACCGGCAGCCCGAGUGAUGGCCGAUCCUAUUGGGCCUAAAGCGUCCGUAGCUGGCCGCGCAAGUCCAUCGGGAAAUCCACCCGCCCAACGGGUGGCCGUCCGGUGGAAACUGCACGGCUUGGGACCGGAAGGCGCGACGGGUACGUCCGGGGUAGGAGUGAAAUCCCGUAAUCCUGGACGGACCGCCGAUGGCGAAAGCACGUCGCGAGAACGGAUCCGACAGUGAGGGACGAAAGCCAGGGUCUCGAACCGGAUUAGAUACCCGGGUAGUCCUGGCCGUAAACAAUGCCUGCUAGGUGUGGCUCCCACUACGAGUGGGUGCUGUGCCGUAGUGAAGCCGCUAAGCAGGCCGCCUGGGAAGUACGUCCGCAAGGAUGAAACUUAAAGGAAUUGGCGGGGGAGCACUACAACCGGAGGAGCCUGCGGUUUAAUUGGAUUCAACGCCGGAA
This 667-nucleotide ribosomal RNA is filed under the name uncultured archaeon. RNAcentral describes it as "bacterial SSU rRNA". It matches the Rfam family "Archaeal small subunit ribosomal RNA", at positions 257 to 923 of the family's 1478-position model. The record is from RNAcentral.